Molecule: ribosomal RNA, 433 nt
Filed under: uncultured bacterium
Lineage: Bacteria
Description: partial 16S ribosomal RNA
Rfam family: Bacterial small subunit ribosomal RNA
Source: RNAcentral
AACGAAUGCUGGCGGCAUGCCUAACACAUGCAAGUCGAACGAGCUCUUCGGGUUUAGUGGCGCACGGGUGAGUAACGCGUGGGAACGUGCCCUUAGGUUCGGAAUAACUCCGCGAAACGGGUGCUAAUACCGGAUAUUGUCUUCGGACGAAAGAUUUAUCGCCAUUGGAUGGGCCCGCGUUGGAUUAGCUAGUUGGUAGGGUAACGGCUUACCAAGGCGACGAUCCGUAGCUGGUCUGAGAGGAUGACCAGCCACACUGGGACUGAGACACGGCCCAGACUCCUACGGGAGGCAGCAGUGGGGAAUAUUGCGCAAUGGGCGAAAGCCUGACGCAGCAAUGCCGCGUGAAUGAUGAAGGCCUUAGGAUUGUAAAGCUCUUUUACCGGGGAUGAUAAUGACGGUACCCGGAGAAGAAGCUCCGGCUAACUCCGUG